GGCUACAGGUGCAUCAACU
This 19-nucleotide unclassified non-coding RNA is filed under the name synthetic construct. The record is from RNAcentral.